RNAcentral lists this ribosomal RNA (429 nucleotides) under Pseudomonadota bacterium. RNAcentral's name for it is "Proteobacteria bacterium partial 16S ribosomal RNA". It matches the Rfam family "Bacterial small subunit ribosomal RNA", at positions 355 to 776 of the family's 1533-position model. The record is from RNAcentral. Lineage: Bacteria; Pseudomonadati; Pseudomonadota.
UGGGGAAUAUUGGACAAUGGGGGGAACCCUGAUCCAGCCAUGCCGCGUGUGUGAAGAAGGUCUUCGGAUUGUAAAGCACUUUAAGUUGGGAGGAAGGGCAGUAAGCGAAUACCUUGCUGUUUUGACGUUACCGACAGAAUAAGCACCGGCUAACUCUGUGCCAGCAGCCGCGGUAAUACAGAGGGUGCAAGCGUUAAUCGGAAUUACUGGGCGUAAAGCGCGCGUAGGUGGUUCGUUAAGUUGAAUGUGAAAGCACCGGGCUCAACCUGGGAACUGCAUCCAAAACUGGCGAGCUAGAGUAGGGCAGAGGGUGGUGGAAUUUCCUGUGUAGCGGUGAAAUGCGUAGAUAUAGGAAGGAACACCAGUGGCGAAGGCGACCACCUGGGCUCAUACUGACACUGAGGUGCGAAAGCGUGGGGAGCAAACAGG